This 2647-nucleotide ribosomal RNA is filed under the name Staphylococcus aureus MISS6103. RNAcentral describes it as "bacterial LSU rRNA". It matches the Rfam family "Bacterial large subunit ribosomal RNA". RNAcentral also lists the same sequence under 1 other name. The record is from RNAcentral. Lineage: Bacteria; Bacillati; Bacillota; Bacilli; Caryophanales; Staphylococcaceae.
CAACAAGCUUGCUUGUUGGGGUUGUAGGACACUCUAUACGGAGUUACAAAGGACGACAUUAGACGAAUCAUCUGGAAAGAUGAAUCAAAGAAGGUGAUAAUCCUGUAGUCGAAAAUGUUGUCUCUCUUGAGUGGAUCCUGAGUACGACGGAGCACGUGAAAUUCCGUCGGAAUCUGGGAGGACCAUCUCCUAAGGCUAAAUACUCUCUAGUGACCGAUAGUGAACCAGUACCGUGAGGGAAAGGUGAAAAGCACCCCGGAAGGGGAGUGAAAUAGAACCUGAAACCGUGUGCUUACAAGUAGUCAGAGCCCGUUAAUGGGUGAUGGCGUGCCUUUUGUAGAAUGAACCGGCGAGUUACGAUUUGAUGCAAGGUUAAGCAGUAAAUGUGGAGCCGUAGCGAAAGCGAGUCUGAAUAGGGCGUUUAGUAUUUGGUCGUAGACCCGAAACCAGGUGAUCUACCCUUGGUCAGGUUGAAGUUCAGGUAACACUGAAUGGAGGACCGAACCGACUUACGUUGAAAAGUGAGCGGAUGAACUGAGGGUAGCGGAGAAAUUCCAAUCGAACCUGGAGAUAGCUGGUUCUCUCCGAAAUAGCUUUAGGGCUAGCCUCAAGUGAUGAUUAUUGGAGGUAGAGCACUGUUUGGACGAGGGGCCCCUCUCGGGUUACCGAAUUCAGACAAACUCCGAAUGCCAAUUAAUUUAACUUGGGAGUCAGAACAUGGGUGAUAAGGUCCGUGUUCGAAAGGGAAACAGCCCAGACCACCAGCUAAGGUCCCAAAAUAUAUGUUAAGUGGAAAAGGAUGUGGCGUUGCCCAGACAACUAGGAUGUUGGCUUAGAAGCAGCCAUCAUUUAAAGAGUGCGUAAUAGCUCACUAGUCGAGUGACACUGCGCCGAAAAUGUACCGGGGCUAAACAUAUUACCGAAGCUGUGGAUUGUCCUUUGGACAAUGGUAGGAGAGCGUUCUAAGGGCGUUGAAGCAUGAUCGUAAGGACAUGUGGAGCGCUUAGAAGUGAGAAUGCCGGUGUGAGUAGCGAAAGACGGGUGAGAAUCCCGUCCACCGAUUGACUAAGGUUUCCAGAGGAAGGCUCGUCCGCUCUGGGUUAGUCGGGUCCUAAGCUGAGGCCGACAGGCGUAGGCGAUGGAUAACAGGUUGAUAUUCCUGUACCACCUAUAAUCGUUUUAAUCGAUGGGGGGACGCAGUAGGAUAGGCGAAGCGUGCGAUUGGAUUGCACGUCUAAGCAGUAAGGCUGAGUAUUAGGCAAAUCCGGUACUCGUUAAGGCUGAGCUGUGAUGGGGAGAAGACAUUGUGUCUUCGAGUCGUUGAUUUCACACUGCCGAGAAAAGCCUCUAGAUAGAAAAUAGGUGCCCGUACCGCAAACCGACACAGGUAGUCAAGAUGAGAAUUCUAAGGUGAGCGAGCGAACUCUCGUUAAGGAACUCGGCAAAAUGACCCCGUAACUUCGGGAGAAGGGGUGCUCUUUAGGGUUAACGCCCAGAAGAGCCGCAGUGAAUAGGCCCAAGCGACUGUUUAUCAAAAACACAGGUCUCUGCUAAACCGUAAGGUGAUGUAUAGGGGCUGACGCCUGCCCGGUGCUGGAAGGUUAAGAGGAGUGGUUAGCUUCUGCGAAGCUACGAAUCGAAGCCCCAGUAAACGGCGGCCGUAACUAUAACGGUCCUAAGGUAGCGAAAUUCCUUGUCGGGUAAGUUCCGACCCGCACGAAAGGCGUAACGAUUUGGGCACUGUCUCAACGAGAGACUCGGUGAAAUCAUAGUACCUGUGAAGAUGCAGGUUACCCGCGACAGGACGGAAAGACCCCGUGGAGCUUUACUGUAGCCUGAUAUUGAAAUUCGGCACAGCUUGUACAGGAUAGGUAGGAGCCUUUGAAACGUGAGCGCUAGCUUACGUGGAGGCGCUGGUGGGAUACUACCCUAGCUGUGUUGGCUUUCUAACCCGCACCACUUAUCGUGGUGGGAGACAGUGUCAGGCGGGCAGUUUGACUGGGGCGGUCGCCUCCUAAAAGGUAACGGAGGCGCUCAAAGGUUCCCUCAGAAUGGUUGGAAAUCAUUCAUAGAGUGUAAAGGCAUAAGGGAGCUUGACUGCGAGACCUACAAGUCGAGCAGGGUCGAAAGACGGACUUAGUGAUCCGGUGGUUCCGCAUGGAAGGGCCAUCGCUCAACGGAUAAAAGCUACCCCGGGGAUAACAGGCUUAUCUCCCCCAAGAGUUCACAUCGACGGGGAGGUUUGGCACCUCGAUGUCGGCUCAUCGCAUCCUGGGGCUGUAGUCGGUCCCAAGGGUUGGGCUGUUCGCCCAUUAAAGCGGUACGCGAGCUGGGUUCAGAACGUCGUGAGACAGUUCGGUCCCUAUCCGUCGUGGGCGUAGGAAAUUUGAGAGGAGCUGUCCUUAGUACGAGAGGACCGGGAUGGACAUACCUCUGGUGUACCAGUUGUCGUGCCAACGGCAUAGCUGGGUAGCUAUGUGUGGACGGGAUAAGUGCUGAAAGCAUCUAAGCAUGAAGCCCCCCUCAAGAUGAGAUUUCCCAACUUCGGUUAUAAGAUCCCUCAAAGAUGAUGAGGUUAAUAGGUUCGAGGUGGAAGCAUGGUGACAUGUGGAGCUGACGAAUACUAAUCGAUCGAAGACUUAAUCAA